RNAcentral lists this long non-coding RNA (1766 nucleotides) under Homo sapiens (human). Its description in RNAcentral is "HSALNT0059186". The stretch from base 63 to 214 matches the Rfam family "Non-coding RNA BC040587". The record is from RNAcentral. Lineage: Eukaryota; Metazoa; Chordata; Mammalia; Primates; Hominidae.
GGAAAAGUGAAUAAACUAUGUGUCUAAUUAAAAAUUCCUAUUGCCUCGCACAUCAGACACCAGUUUGAUUUCUCCUUUUAGCUGCAGUGAGGUCACACUCCUGCAUUUGUGACAUAGCAGCAGGUUGUCAUGGAGAUGAUAGCUUUAUCAGCAACUCUGCUGUGCAAUGACUUCACAGCAAGGUUACCAAGAAGCAGAUGGGCUGUGAAGGAGACAAACCCUUCUGUCUAAACACAAAUAGCAUUGAUAAUUAAUUAGCUGAAGCAGCAGGGGAAAUUAUGAAAAUGUGUGAAAGCACAGCUGUGAGGCAUGUAAAGCCUUCCUACUCCAGAUUUGGUCUACUCACCAGCAGCAUCUCCAUCGCCUAAGAGUUUUAUUAGACAUGCGCAACGUCAAGCCCUACUCCAGACACACCGAAUUAGAACCUGCAUUUUAACAAGAUCCCCAGUGACUCAUAUACAAACAAAAGACUGAGAAGCACAGGCCUAGAAGAUGUCUCCUCCCACUGACAAAGGGCAAAGAAAGGAGUUGUCUCAGAACUUGGAGUAAAAAAUACUCUCCUGUGGUGAUAGAGAGAAAAAGUGUGGAGGGCAAAGAGGGGAGCCUGUGUAUAUGCGUGUGUAUGUGUGAGAGAGAUAGAGAGAUGAAAUGAGGUAACAAGAUUCACCUGCCAACCAGCCCUGCCUAAAACUUUUCAGCACACUCUGGAUCUCAGCUGCUAGUACUUACUCUUAUUUGACUACUAGGCAUAUUUAGUUUCUAUAUCCCGCCUGAGAUGUUCCCAAAAUGUCAUAAGCGGCAGGAAGAUAACCUGAAUUUUUGUCCUUUAUCCAAGCACUAGGUCUGACAGAGGUAGUCUUCCUGACAUUGCCCUCACUGGCCCAGGGUAAGAAAGCUCACUAAAUGUUCUGACUAUUAUUUGAAGCAUGAUUUCAGCCAUGCUAUUCUACCAAAAGCAGCACAGAUCUCUCUCUUGAUCAUUUGGCAUUCUUCAUAUUACAUCAUCACACAUAAAAUUGUUGAUUCUCGGGUUAGAAGGAACCAUUUUUAAAAGUACAGUUUCUUACCUGAUACUGGAAUCCCUGCUAUAAUAUAGCUAGUCAUUGCCAAGCUACACUUGGAAAAAAUAGACGAAAGAAAACUCAAAAUUCAUGCUCAUAUGCUAUUGAGCAUUUAGUGACAUUGCAGCUACCUUAUUUGAGAAGGCAGCAUUCCACUGAUAACAUAUAUCACCCUCUAAGUAUGGCAUGCUCCUCUUACAAACAGUUAAGCUUCAGAGCAGUAGUGCAGGAAGGAAAAAAGUCCCUUCAUAAAUAAAUCCUUUUGCCUAAACGAAAGAAUAUACAGUACUCAUAAAAAUGGCGAUUAGAGCCCAGCAUGAGAAAGAUACCCUCAUAACACUAAUAAUAUUAGCAAUAAAAAUACCCUCUGAGAUUUGCUAUUCCAGAGAAAAUAUUUGCUAUUAUUGUUAUUAUUAUUAUAUUACUGCUAAUAAUAAUAAUGGGUUGCUUGCUAAGAGAUUGAGCCUUUGCUGUAACUAAGUAAGCAUACUUAGAAAGUGCUCCCCUGAAGACAUUUCUUCAAUUAAUAAAGAAGACUGACAGAUCUUCUCACAGCCUACUGCCAGGUACCAAUUGAUUGCCUCCCUGUAAUAAUUGUUUAAUUUGCUUUCCAGUACUAAUCAUGUUGUGCAAAUUGUUGGCCUCUGCCAUUUGGUGACAAGGCAGAUGGUAUUUCAAUGGGCCCAGUUGAGCUGCCCACCAGCC